This 554-nucleotide ribosomal RNA is filed under the name Pieriballia viardi. RNAcentral describes it as "eukaryotic LSU rRNA". It matches the Rfam family "Eukaryotic large subunit ribosomal RNA", at positions 601 to 906 of the family's 3401-position model. Lineage: Eukaryota; Metazoa; Arthropoda; Insecta; Lepidoptera; Pieridae. The record is from RNAcentral.
GAUGCACGGGUCGGACGUGUCGACGUCCGCGGACGGCGUGCACUUCUCUCUCAGUAUACAUCGCGACCCGUUCGCUGUCUAAGCGCGGUCCGGGAGCCGAGCGGCCGGACGGUAGUCUAUGAAUCGCGCACGCGCCUCCGCGCGUCAGGCCCGACGCAAGUGGCGUCGUCCUGCCUAUGUGCGGACGCGGGCGCGGCGCCGCUGUCGUCGCAGCCGCAGUCUCUGACCGUGCGCGUUUCUGUCGGCGAUGUUUCAGUUUCGGGCACUCGCAGGACCCGUCUUGAAACACGGACCAAGGAGUCUAGCAUGUGUGCGAGUCAUUGAGUUAAAACUGAGAGGCGCAACGAAAGUGAAGGCGCGCGCCGCGCGCUCAGGGGGGAUGGAGGGACGCGCUCUCGCACCCCCGAGGCGUCUCGUUUCCAAUCCGUGAAUGCAGGCGCGCUCUGAGCACAGAUGCUGGGACCCGAAAGAUGGUGAACUAUGCCUGGUCAGGUCGAAGUCAGGGGAAACCCUGAUGGAGGACCGUAGCGAUUCUGACGUGCAAAUCGAUCGUC